RNAcentral lists this ribosomal RNA (253 nucleotides) under uncultured bacterium. Its description in RNAcentral is "partial 16S ribosomal RNA". It matches the Rfam family "Bacterial small subunit ribosomal RNA", at positions 524 to 776 of the family's 1533-position model. The record is from RNAcentral.
UACGUAGGAUGCAAGCGUUGUCCGGAAUUAUUGGGCGUAAAGAGCGCGCAGGCGGUAUGACAAGUCAGAUGUGAAAGAGGCCGGCUUAACCGGCAAGGGUCAUUUGAAACUGUCAGACUAGAGUGCAGCAGAGGAUAGUGGAAUUCCCGGUGUAGUGGUGAAAUGCGUAGAUAUCGGGAGGAACACCGGUGGCGAAGGCGGCGAUCUGGGUCGAUACUGACGCUGAGGUGCGAAAGCGUGGGGAGCAAACAGG